GAUGAACGCUGGCGGCGUGCUUAACACAUGCAAGUCGAACGGAAAGGCCCUGCUUUUGUGGGGUGCUCGAGUGGCGAACGGGUGAGUAACACGUGAGUAAUCUGCCCUUGACUUUGGGAUAACUUUAGGAAACUGGGGCUAAUACCGGAUAGGAGCUCCUGCUGCAUGGUGGGGGUUGGAAAGUUUCGGCGGUUGGGGAUGUACUCGCGGCUUAUCAGCUUGUUGGUGGGGUAGUGGCUUACCAAGGCUUUGACGGGUAGCCGGCCUGAGAGGGUGGCCGGCCACAUUGGGACUGAGAUACGGCCCAGACUCCUACGGGAGGCAGCAGUGGGGAAUAUUGCACAAUGGGCGGAAGCCUGAUGCAGCAACGCCGCGUGCGGGAUGACGGCCUUCGGGUUGUAAACCGCUUUCGCCUGUGACGAAGCGUGAGUGACGGUAAUGGGUAAAGAAGCACCGGCUAACUACGUG
RNAcentral lists this ribosomal RNA (468 nucleotides) under uncultured bacterium. Its description in RNAcentral is "partial 16S ribosomal RNA". It matches the Rfam family "Bacterial small subunit ribosomal RNA", at positions 28 to 507 of the family's 1533-position model. The record is from RNAcentral.